Molecule: ribosomal RNA, 433 nt
Filed under: uncultured Lachnobacterium sp.
Lineage: Bacteria; Bacillati; Bacillota; Clostridia; Lachnospirales; Lachnospiraceae
Description: bacterial SSU rRNA
Rfam family: Bacterial small subunit ribosomal RNA
Source: RNAcentral
AACGCGAAGAACCUUACCAAAUCUUGACAUCCCGAUGACAGGCUGUGUAAAGCAGCUUCUCUUCGGAGCAUCGGUGACAGGUGGUGCAUGGUUGUCGUCAGCUCGCGUCGUGAAAUGUUGGGUUAAGUCCCGCAACGAGCGCAACCCUUGUCCUUAGUAGCCAGCAGUAAGAUGGGGACUCUAAGGAGACAGACGGAGAUAAUCCGGAGGAAGAUGGGGAUGACGUCAAAUCAUCAUGCCCCUUAUGAUUUGGGCUACACACGUGCUACAAUGGCGUAAACAAAGAGAGGCGAGAGGGCGACCUUAAGCAAAUCUCAAAAAUAACGUCUCAGUUCGGAUUGCAGGCUGCAACUCGCCUGCAUGAAGCCGGAAUCGCUAGUAAUCGCAGAUCAGCAUGCUGCGGUGAAUACGUUCCCGGGUCUUGUACACACGC